AGGAUCUUAGUUUAAUGACUAAAACAUAGGACUUUUAAGCCUAAUAUACGGCUUGGGAUUCCGUAGAUCCUU
Molecule: transfer RNA, 72 nt
Filed under: Colletotrichum orbiculare MAFF 240422
Lineage: Eukaryota; Fungi; Ascomycota; Sordariomycetes; Glomerellales; Glomerellaceae
Rfam family: tRNA
About the family: Transfer RNA (tRNA) molecules are approximately 80 nucleotides in length. Their secondary structure includes four short double-helical elements and three loops (D, anti-codon, and T loops).
Source: Rfam by way of RNAcentral